Molecule: transfer RNA, 75 nt
Filed under: archaeon
Lineage: Archaea
Description: tRNA-Arg
Rfam family: tRNA
About the family: Transfer RNA (tRNA) molecules are approximately 80 nucleotides in length. Their secondary structure includes four short double-helical elements and three loops (D, anti-codon, and T loops). Further hydrogen bonds mediate the characteristic L-shaped molecular structure. tRNAs have two regions of fundamental functional importance: the anti-codon, which is responsible for specific mRNA codon recognition, and the 3' end, to which the tRNAs corresponding amino acid is attached (by aminoacyl-tRNA synthetases). tRNAs cope with the degeneracy of the genetic code in two manners: having more than one tRNA (with a specific anti-codon) for a particular amino acid; and 'wobble' base-pairing, i.e. permitting non-standard base-pairing at the 3rd anti-codon position.
Source: RNAcentral
GCCCUUGUAGCUCAGUUUGAAUAGAGCGCUUCCCCCCUAAGGAAGAGGUCGUAGGUUUAAAUCCUAUCAGGGGCG